This 868-nucleotide ribosomal RNA is filed under the name Streptomyces sp. RNAcentral describes it as "bacterial SSU rRNA". It matches the Rfam family "Bacterial small subunit ribosomal RNA", at positions 92 to 982 of the family's 1533-position model. The record is from RNAcentral. Lineage: Bacteria; Bacillati; Actinomycetota; Actinomycetes; Kitasatosporales; Streptomycetaceae.
AUAGUGGCGACGGGUGAGUAACACGUGGGCAAUCUGCCCUGCACUCUGGGACAAGCCCUGGAAACGGGGUCUAAUACCGGAUAUUGACCUUCACGGGCAUCUGUGAGGUUCGAAAGCUCCGGCGGUGCAGGAUGAGCCCGCGGCCUAUCAGCUUGUUGGUGAGGUAAUGGCUCACCAAGGCGACGACGGGUAGCCGGCCUGAGAGGGCGACCGGCCACACUGGGACUGAGACACGGCCCAGACUCCUACGGGAGGCAGCAGUGGGGAAUAUUGCACAAUGGGCGAAAGCCUGAUGCAGCGACGCCGCGUGAGGGAUGACGGCCUUCGGGUUGUAAACCUCUUUCAGCAGGGAAGAAGCGAAAGUGACGGUACCUGCAGAAGAAGCGCCGGCUAACUACGUGCCAGCAGCCGCGGUAAUACGUAGGGCGCAAGCGUUGUCCGGAAUUAUUGGGCGUAAAGAGCUCGUAGGCGGCUUGUCACGUCGGUUGUGAAAGCCCGGGGCUUAACCCCGGGUCUGCAGUCGAUACGGGCAGGCUAGAGUUCGGUAGGGGAGAUCGGAAUUCCUGGUGUAGCGGUGAAAUGCGCAGAUAUCAGGAGGAACACCGGUGGCGAAGGCGGAUCUCUGGGCCGAUACUGACGCUGAGGAGCGAAAGCGUGGGGAGCGAACAGGAUUAGAUACCCUGGUAGUCCACGCCGUAAACGGUGGGCACUAGGUGUGGGCAACAUUCCACGUUGUCCGUGCCGCAGCUAACGCAUUAAGUGCCCCGCCUGGGGAGUACGGCCGCAGGCUAAACUCAAAGGAAUUGACGGGGGCCCGCACAGCGCGAGCAUGUGGCUAUUCGACGCACGCGAGACCUUACCAGGCUUG